RNAcentral lists this ribosomal RNA (382 nucleotides) under uncultured bacterium. RNAcentral's name for it is "bacterial SSU rRNA". It matches the Rfam family "Bacterial small subunit ribosomal RNA", at positions 29 to 414 of the family's 1533-position model. The record is from RNAcentral.
UUGAACGCUGGCGGCAUGCUUUACACAUGCAAGUCGAACGGGGUGAGGGGGCAACCUCUCACUCAGUGGCGAACGGGUGAGUAAUGCAUCGGAACGUGUCCUGUUGUGGGGGAUAACCCAUCGAAAGGUGAGCUAAUACCGCAUGAUCUGGAGACAGCAAAAGCAGGGGACCGGAAACGGCCUUGCGCGAUUGGAGCGGCCGAUGUCCGAUUAGCUAGUUGGCGGGGAAAGGCCCACCAAGGCAACGAUCGGUAGCUGGUCUGAGAGGAUGAUCAGCCACACUGGGACUGAGACACGGCCCAGACUCCUACGGGAGGCAGCAGUGGGGAAUUUGGACAAUGGGGGCAACCCUGAUCCAGCCAUGCCGCGUGAGUGAAGAAGG